GGCGGCGUGGCCGAGUGGUCUAAGGCGCCAGAUUUAGGCUCUGGUCUCGUUGAGGCGUGGGUUCAAACCCCACCGCCGUCA
This 81-nucleotide transfer RNA is filed under the name Bodo saltans. It matches the Rfam family "tRNA". From Rfam's summary of the family: Transfer RNA (tRNA) molecules are approximately 80 nucleotides in length. RNAcentral also lists the same sequence under 1 other name. The record is from Rfam by way of RNAcentral. Lineage: Eukaryota; Euglenozoa; Kinetoplastea; Eubodonida; Bodonidae.